RNAcentral lists this ribosomal RNA (497 nucleotides) under uncultured bacterium. RNAcentral's name for it is "partial 16S ribosomal RNA". It matches the Rfam family "Bacterial small subunit ribosomal RNA", at positions 28 to 507 of the family's 1533-position model. The record is from RNAcentral.
GAUGAACGCUGGCGGCGUGCCUAACACAUGCAAGUCGAACGACCAGACAAUGAGCUUGUGCCUCUACCGUUAGCGGCUGACGGGUGGGUAAGGCGUGGAUAAGCUACCUAUAUUACGGGGAGGAUUUCGGAAGGCCGGUUAUGAUACCAGCGCAUAUGUUGAACGGCUGAGAGCAGUAGUUAUUGGCAGUUUUCGCGACUGUAUGAGAUGAUGCCGCGCCGGAUUAGCUAGUUGGUAAGGUAACGGCUAACCAAGGCAACGAUGCGUAGCCGACCUGAGAGGGUGAUCAGCCACACUGGAACUGAGACACGGUCCAGACUCCUACGGGAGGCAGCAGUAGGGAAUCUUCCGCAAUGGGCGAAAGCCUGACGGAGCCAUGCCGCGUGAGUGAUGAAGGCCUUCGGAUUGUAAAGCUCUGUUAUUGGGGAAGAAAAACUGUGUAAGUAACUAUGCACGUCUUGACGGUACCUAAACAGAAAGCAACGGCUAACUUCGUG